UACAGGGGGUGCAAACGUUGCUCGGAAUUAUUGGGCGUAAAGCGCGCGUAGGCGGCUACUUAAGUCGGAUGUGAAAGCCCCUGGCUCAACUGGGGAAGUGCACCCGAAACUGAGUGGCUUGAGUACUAAAGAGGGUCGCGGAAUUCCCGGUGUAGAGGUGAAAUUCGUAGAUAUCGGGAGGAACACCGGUGGCGAAGGCGGCGACCUGGGUAGAUACUGACGCUGAGGAGCGAAAGCGUGGGGAGCGAACAGG
This 253-nucleotide ribosomal RNA is filed under the name uncultured bacterium. Its description in RNAcentral is "partial 16S ribosomal RNA". It matches the Rfam family "Bacterial small subunit ribosomal RNA", at positions 524 to 776 of the family's 1533-position model. The record is from RNAcentral.